UCAGAUUAUGCGUACAAAGCACUUGACUUCUCGUGCGCUCCCAGAGAGAGAUCCCGGUCUGACUCUGUAAUCAGCCUUCAGGAGGCACUGAUGCAGUUGCCCAUUCAAGACUCAUCCUCUAUAUCAUCCAGCCGAAUGGAAUCUCCAGUGUCCUCCACAGCCAGCACACCCUCAUCGGACAGCACAGAGAGAGAGAGGACCGAGGCUCAACGGGGAGAAAAUCC
Molecule: long non-coding RNA, 224 nt
Organism: Thalassophryne amazonica
Lineage: Eukaryota; Metazoa; Chordata; Actinopteri; Batrachoidiformes; Batrachoididae
Exons: 3
Source: RefSeq, a predicted model, not a curated record